This 189-nucleotide ribosomal RNA is filed under the name uncultured bacterium. Its description in RNAcentral is "partial 16S rRNA". It matches the Rfam family "Bacterial small subunit ribosomal RNA", at positions 338 to 524 of the family's 1533-position model. The record is from RNAcentral.
CCUACGGGAGGCAGCAGUGAGGAAUCUUGCGCAAUGGGGGAAACCCUGACGCAGCCACGCCGCGUGCCGGAAGAAGGCCCUAUGGGUUGUAAACGGCUUUUAUUCGGGAAGAAAGUCCGGGAUUCGUCCUGGUUUGACGGUACCGAAUGAAUAAGCACCGGCUAACUCCGUGCCAGCAGCCGCGGUAAU